AUCCAGCCGACGAGUCAUAAAUGAGACGAAACGCGCGUUCUGAAU
Molecule: non-coding RNA, 45 nt
Organism: Schistosoma rodhaini
Lineage: Eukaryota; Metazoa; Platyhelminthes; Trematoda; Strigeidida; Schistosomatidae
Source: Rfam